GUUAUGGAGCUCAUUAAUGCACAAUUAUAUACUCAUAUCAGCGAGGUAAAUCCCUAAACCAGCCCUAAACCUCUGUCCAUGAAGUUCUUCCUCACGCGGGUGCUGCGAUUCUCCCAAAACGCGUCCUUUCCUACGCAAGGCAGCUUUCCCAAAAAAACCCAACCAUCAUCAACACGACUUCCUACGUUAACUCACGUAUAAACAGCGACCCUAUUUAUACUUCCCGGCAAUCUUUCCUGUUAGUAGCAGGAUUACUAAUUGCUGGCUUACAGCUCCUUCCUCCCCACAGCAGUCAGACCAGUGGAGCCUGGCCACCCUCCAGGUUUUUCGCCGCGGAGGAGACAGGCAUUUCCAGCCCUACGCCUGCAAAGCCAGCUCCACCCUCGCCGGAGCCAGGCCAGCAGCAAACCCGGCUGGUUUUAUUUUUCCCAGCAGAGGCGCAGGCUUUUCCAUUGACUGAAUUGUCUAAACACUUUGACCACGAUUGCCAGAUUAUAAAUACCUUCCUUCAGAGAUGAUAAUCUGGAUAAAACAGUUGACUAGAUGCCUACAGAGAAGGAAUACACGGCACGAUGGUAAAGCGGAGGAGCAGAAUACGGUGUUACUGAUACUACAGCAAAGACUUAUCUGUGGUUGCUUUCACAGCCUUCUAAAGCAAUUUAUUCCUUCAUUUUCGACGCUGACUCAGGUCUUACCACGAUGCUUAUCCUUUACUUUCAGACGAUAAGUGAAGACAUUUGUCAAAGGCUACAGAAAGGUACUGUAAGUGAGAAGUACGCUCAGUGUUUGUGCUUGGUCAAAGCCGUGGAGACUGCAUUUUGGCUCUGUCUGCUUGAAGUGUUUUUCUGUAAAACAUAGUGAUUAAAAUAGAGUAUGUUUUAUGAUGGCAUUUGGAAUCAAUUUUUUUUCCCUUUUACCUCAUUGCCAGCUGAGGAAUGAGACAUGCACCCCUCCUCAGUGCCAGUUCAGCGCGCCUCUAUUCUCUUUUCUAACACCUCUGAAGGUGCUUGAAAAACAGGGGGAGGUCAUACAGGUUCUGCAGCUUCAGAAGUUUAUAUUAGAAAGCAUUUAAUGUGUAUUUAUUAAUCACACAAUGCGCUUCCUGCAUUACCCAGCUGAGCCGGGCUUUCUCGGCGCACAAUGGUGUUGUAUUUAUUGCGUAUCCUCCAGGGCAGAGAUUUAGUGUUUGGCCGGCAAACAGGAACAGAAUGUUUUCGUUGUCUAUGACUAAUGUGAUGACUAAGUGCAGGGCUCCAAAUGGAUCCCAGAUCUACUUGGGACAGCGUGGGGCAGGAUAUGAAGAAGAUAACAUCUGAAACCACUCUUAGCCCCAGUGAAAGGGGGACAAAACCAUCUCCACUGACCCACCUUAAAAAGGCCUUGGCUGCCAAUCAGAAAGCAUAUAAAAGCUCUUAUGGAGAGCUCUUAUGGGUCAUUUUUGAAGAAAUCCCAA
Phalacrocorax carbo (great cormorant) is the source of this 1453-nucleotide non-coding RNA. NCBI's taxonomy places the organism in Eukaryota, Metazoa, Chordata, Aves, Suliformes, Phalacrocoracidae. The record is from RefSeq and is a predicted model, not a curated record.